RNAcentral lists this long non-coding RNA (18800 nucleotides) under Marmota monax (woodchuck). The record is from RNAcentral. Lineage: Eukaryota; Metazoa; Chordata; Mammalia; Rodentia; Sciuridae.
GUGUACUGGGAACCGAACACAGUGGUACUUUACCACUGAGCUACAUCCAGUCCUUUUUUAUUUUUGAGACUGUUCUCGAUAAGUUGCUUAGAACCUCACAAAGUUGCUGAGGCUGACCUCAAACUUGUAAUCCUCUUGCCUCAGCCUCCUGAAUAGCAGGGAUUAUAGGUGGGCACCUCCUCACCCAGCUAAACUAAGUUAGUCAAAAUCGUUAAGCUCACAACUUAUGAAAAAAUUCUUAAUUUUAGAGAAGAUUUUAGGGAGGAUUAAAAUUGUUUCUGCUGUUCUCUUUGAAGCGGAGAGCAUGGUGCGGCCAAGCACAGAUCCUCUCAGUGAUCCCGGGCAAUUUGGAAUGUGAAACUUGUGGAGAGUGAGUGCUUUGCUGUGCUGUAGCACAUCUAACAUCAACUUCGAGGUGAGCACUGUUACUACUCUACUCUACUCCUUUUGCUGCAAUUUUGAAAUUUCAUGAGAAAACUAGCAACAAUUUAGGGUCCAUGGGGAGAGGGUAGGUGUGGCACUUAAAUCUCAUAAUUCAUCCCACUGGGUUGGAAUCGCCCAGAGACCUAUAGAUAUGGGCGUAAUCCAAAGAUGGGGUGUCUGAUUGCCAUUUCUGAACCCAAGAGCUCCUGGAAGAAAUGCUAGAGAGGCUGAGGCACUUUGGCUUCCUAAGCUGGGCCUGCCAGCACAUGUGUAGGUUACAGCUUGAGAAGCAGUACCCUGCCGCCACCAAAGGCCCCCUGGGCCAAUCCCAGUUUCUCCCAUGUACUCCUGCUUGAUCCUGCUGCUUUGCCGGCUGGUGGGCUGAACCCUCUGCAUUUCCUUCCAUUGUUCGCAUCCUACUUUCUAGGUGCUCCAGUUACCUCUGUUUCUCCUGAAAGAUGCCUCAGAAAGGCCUGCAUAGUUGGGACAUUCCUGAUAGCGUACACUGGAGCAAAUGACUAAGUGCAUUCUGUGUUAUGAAUAAUAUACUUAUAUGACUGUUAUAAUCAUCCAAACCCCAUUUCUGGCUCUGGCUCUGGCUCCAGUGACUUGGAACAGGUUAUUUACCCAAAGUUUGCUAGACUGCAAAGUUCAAGGGCACAGUGCUCCAGAAUGCCUGGUCUGCUCAGCUCUGACACCAACUGCAAGGGGUUAAAGUCCAAUUACAAAUCUAAAAGGGAGAGUUCACACUAGAUCACCCUCACUUCUGAUACCUACUGCAAGUUCAGGGGGCUCACGAAACCAUGCUCACAUUCUCUAAUUCACUAGAAGGACUCAUGGUACUCACUUGAAGGCUAUCAUACUCAUGGUUAUAGUUUAUUAUAAGGCAAGGACACAGAGGGUUCCAAAUGUCUCAGGAUAUGGUACCUUCUCAGUGUUGAUAUAUAUGACUAUAGAGAGAGUAUUGCCAACCAAGCAAGUUGAACCAAGUCUCCAUGUGCAGAAAUUUUAUUAGGGCUGCAUUAGAUAGGCAUGACAGAUUGAUUGCCUACAUAGUAGAAACUCAGCCCCAGGUUGGCAGAUACAUGAUACAAAGGCCCCACCCUAAAAUCACAUGGUUGGCAUUUCUGGUGUGACCAGUUUCUACCCUAAGAUUGCCAGGCAUGGCCAGGGCCCUCCACAGAGACAUUACUAUCAAGUAUAACAUGAAUUAACUUCCAGAAACACAAGCAAACUCUCUUUGGGCAAAGUCAAAAUUUUUUUUUUUAAUUUUAACACCUGUAUUUACUUAUUUGGGGUCAAAUUCUUAACUAUACUUCAAUUAACAUCUCUGAGCCUCAGCUUUUCAUCUCUAAAAUAAGGUGAUAAUCAUCCCACCCUAAGACAUUUGAGCUCUAAUUCAUGAAGAGAUGCAGCCAUGAUCCAGAUUCUAAAACUUUCAGCUAAGAGGAGACUUUCAGUUUUCUGGCAAAAUGGGCUAGUUUCUGUGUCUGAUUCAAGUAUCAUCAAAUAGUUCUGUCGCCAAGUCACUUAACUUCUCUCCUCAUGUGGAUAAUAUGUAUACCUGUGUGCUCUCACAAGGUAGUGAUAAGAUCAAACAAAUGUCAAAAUUAAUGUAUAUGUAUAUGGAAAUGCCCACUCAUCCAAUUUUAUCCUAGAUAAGGCUUCAUCCCACAGGUGCUGCAACUUCUGUACCCCAAGAGAGUGGCUCUCUGAAGUGCUAAAGAAGUGACUGAUGUGACAGUAUGAAGUGUUCUUAGGUCACAUCCAAAUAAAUGGAAGAGUUGAAAUAGGUCUGAAUGUGUAUGUCCCGCAAAAUUCCCCCAUAUUGAAAGCUAACAUGUGAUGAAUUAAGAGAAAAAGCUUUGGGAAGUGAUACAAUUAUAAAGCAGAGACCGUGUGAUUAAGAUUAGUACCUUUAGGAAAGAGAUAUCCUCACCCCAUCCACCACAUGAGGACAUAGCAAGAAGAUUCUGCUGUGAGGAAGCAAGCCCUCCACAGACACUGAGUAUAGUGGCACCUUGAUCUUGGACUUCCCAGUUUCUCAAACAGUGAGAGAUCGAUUUCCUUUGUUCAUAAGCUACCCUGUCUACGGCAUUAUCUUAUAGCCACUGAAAAGGACUAAUAUGAUGAGUAACUGCAUAUUCUCCCCCAGAAUACUCUCCACCAGAGUAUUUUUAUAUGUUUUCCAUUUCUUGGUUAAGUUUCUCUAGCAGCAAAUACACCCAGUUGGAAGGUACAGUUGGCAAAGAUAUUUUUAGAUUAUGCAAUACUUGGACUGCUGAGGUUGGGAAUCCAUCCUCCUAUGUGACUUUUAUGCCUUCAGGAACUCAGAGACUCCUUUGUUGAUGGAACCUGACUCUAGCCUCAUUUGCCCCCCCCCCACUCCCUGAAACAGCGCACCUCCCACUAGCAGGCCUUGCCUUCCAGCCCUGCUUCCUUUCCUGCUCUGGUGAGCUGGCUGCACACCCGGGAGGGAAGGAUUCUCCUGAGCCUUAACAGACAGCUCCUGUGUCUUUUCCAACAGGUCCUGACAAGCAUGUUAUUAUCCAUAGAGCCAAACAGACUUGAGAAGGAAGAGAGAGGAGAGAGGGUACGUUCAAAGGCCCCCAAAGCCCAGGAAUUGCCAUAAAACCAAAGAUUUCAAAAAUCUACAACCAAAGUUCCACAAGCCCAUAAAACUUUAGAAAACACUGCCCCACCAUGCUAUCUUCAUUCUUGAGGACCUGGAAUGUCUUUUCUACUUCCAGAGUUCCUUUCUCCCAGCCCCAUUCCUCCCCUGUAAAAUUAGGGAAGAUGGGAAAGAAGAACAUGAAUAUUCAUCAUCGCUGCCUCUCCAUGAGUAAGGUUUUCCUUCUUUCAUGCUCCCAGAACUUCUUCUGGGGAGAUUCCAGUGAAUGGGGUCAGUUGUAGCUCCACCCUGGUACCCAAGGAGUUCCAUCCAUUCUUGGAGACCCUGAGGGAGCCCCAGAGCCCCCGAUUUGGUAACACAUUACAAUGGAGAGUUGCUUAACGGCACCCUAAGUGCCUAAGAUUACUAUGGACCUACCCAGAAAUGCAAGUUCUUUCCAUUUUGUUGAAUGAUUCAUAGUCUCUAAAUGGUGUGGUUCCAAAUGGCAAAGAGGCCAAUUUCCUCACCUGUGCUCUGCUGCAGAGGCGGGAAAAUAAGAUUUCAUAAGCAAAACACAAGACAGAUGCAAACAUGAAUUGUUCCUGAAAGGAAAGACUGUUCUCCACACUGUCUGUGCACAAAGACCAGUGCAGCUUCACUAAAAUCAAUCCAAAAGACUAGACAGGAGGAGACUGUGUGUCUCCAAUUGAUGUGGCCCAGAGCCAACCUGUCAGAAACUUCAUCUGCUCAUUUAAGAGAUAGGAAAACUAUGAAUUUGAAACACAGAUUUUUUUUUGUAAUUUAAACAGGCAAUCGCUGACAUUAUUUCUAAACAAACUAUUGCUGUGUUUAGUAUUGUAAUCCAUCAGGGUCUGGCAGAGAAGAGAGGGCAACUAGCUAAGGAGAUAGUAACAAAGGGGUGGAAAUGCUUGGGAGAAGCCAACAAAGAUGGCGCACUGUUAUGGCUAACAACAGCAGACCCUGAGCCUGGGGCAAGGGAAGAUGGGAAAAGCAGCUAUAUGAAGGUAGCCACCUGACAGGAGAUGUAGGACUGGACAGAAGACUAUGCCAACAUGCAAAGACAGGGCAGGAAGUAGCUCAGGGAAUAAAUACCAUAAUCUCAAUUCCUGCCUUCCAGUCUACUGUUGAUGCAUUCCACUGGCAUCACCCACUCGUAAGUCUGAGGAUAAAGGAGUCAUAGGUGCAAUCCAGACCAGAGAAUGAACAAUGGAGAGUGGAUUUGGAAGUAGAGGGAAAAGGUAGUUUGCACCAGGGUCCUUUAUAUGUUCAAUGCUAUGUGGGCAACCACCAUGGUUUCUGGGUUGUUUUAGCAUCUAUCACAUCUUUUAAGUCUUCUAACCCUCCAGGUCUGACCUACAUGGCACAAGUGACUCAGUAAUAUUAAUGCUAAAUAAAUAACCAGUCCUGGCUAUAAACUGGCCCACCUUUGAGAUUUAAAUCAUUUAAUAAAUUACUAAGCAUUUUUUUAAUAUUUCUUUUUUGGAAGCAGAGUUUGAAUAUAUAUCAUCCUUCUGAACAGGUCAUUUUUUGUGUAUUUAAACAUGCUAAAAAUAGAAUCUCUUAGUCAUGGUAGAUUUGCCUAGAAUGUUUUUCUUCUUUUUAGCCAAGGUCUUGGAAACCCAAACACUGACAUGAUUACAAAAUUAUACAAUUAAAUUAAUUAGAAAUGACUUGAAGAGUUAUCUAACCGAUUCCACUUCAGACAAAAUUGUACCCAACUCAUUUCCAACAGAUGAAAAUCUACCCUGAGACUUUUUCUGUCUUUAAAUUCUGUCACCUUUAUAGUGGGUUAAACAGUAGCCCUCAAAGGAUAUGCCCAUUUCCUAAUCCUCAGACCUGUUAGCUUCCUUGAAAAGUAGAUAUACUAAAAUUAAGGACCUGGGAUGAAAAGAUUAUCCUGGAUUAACUGAAUGUGCCCUAAAUCCCAAUGACAGAUGGCCUUUUAAGAGACAGGCAAGGAAAAGGUGAUACAAAAUAAAAGCAACACGGCUUCAUUUCUGCCUCCUAGCAUCCUCCUCACGUUUAUUCAAGCAAUAGGUAGAACUGUGUCCCCCAAAAAAGAUGUUCAAAUACUAGUUCCUGGUACCUAUGAUGUGACCUCAUUUGGAAAUAGGGUCUACACCCUACACUGAUGUCAUCAAGUUACAGUGAGCCAUACUGGAUCAGAGUGUGCCCUAAUCCAGUGACUGUUGUCCACAGAAGAGAGAAAAGUGGAGACGGACAGACACACAUGGGGAGACUCGAGGAUAUAACUACAGAGGAAGAGAUCAAAGGGACAUGUCUCAAGCCAAGGAAUGACAAAGCUUCUUAGCAACCCCAGAAGCUGGGAAGAACCAAGGAGUGAUCUCAUCCGAGUCUUUGAAGAGACUCAGCUGUGGCUACACCUUGAUUUCAGGCUUUAGUCUCCAAAUUUGUGAGAGGAUAAAUUCCUAUUGUUUUAAGUCUUCCAGAUUUGUUGCAAUUUGUUAUUGCAGCCCUAGAGAACUAACGGACCACGUGCACAAUGUGUAAGAGUGUUUGUGUCCAUGUCAACAAGUGUUACUAUUACAAAUGAAAAAGUGCCUCCAGAUGCCAGGGUUUCAGGAGGGAGGACAAAGGACAGUGUCACUAGUACUCACAAGUUUUAUGGUGACCACUAUACUAGAUAACCAAUACUUGGGUAAUACAAGAUGAUUCUAUAAUUAAACUGUAUGUGACAUUUUUGUGAUUCGUUCAAAAAUUUUUCUAAAGAUGCCAAAGCAGUGGUUCUCAGCCAGGGGCUAUUUUGCACCUCAGUAACCUUGUCCAUGCCUGGGGACAUUUUUGGCCAUUACAGUUGAGAGGUGCUACUGGCGUCUAGUAUGUUGCGGCCAGGGAUGCUGCUUAUCAUCCACAAACCCAUAACAGUACCUCUACAACAAAAAAUGAUCCAUCCCAAGAUGUCAAUAGCAUCAAGAUUGAGAAACCCCACUCUAAAACAGUAUUCCAGGAACGUGGGGCAGGAAAACAAUGUGUAACUGUAAAAACAAUGAGAUAAUCCAGAUUGACCCUAGUAAUGGCUAUUAGUAUAGGGGACACAAGGGCACAUCUUAGAGGUGCUAGGUGCCUACUGCUCACUGGGAACCAUAGACCAAAGCUUCCUGUUCCACCUCUCAGUAGUGAAACAAAAAUGUUUUCAACUGUGAUUGGCUUUCCCAUUUUGAAAUGGGGAUUUGAAAUAGUACAUAGAUUAUUAGGAAAAAGGAAAGGAGAGAAUGUAGCAAAUAUGCUCAACAUGGCCCCGGGGGUCCACAGUAAACCCUCCAGUCAUGGUGACUACCAUUACCAUCCACUGUCACCGGACUGUUAUCAUGAUUGUGACUAAUCAUGACCAAUGGAGGCCACCUCUUCUUUACCUUGAAAUAUCCCUCUCUUCUGAUUUCUGAAUUUUCUGUUUUGACAUUACCUGAUUCCAUGUGAUCCUUGGAAAAAUAAGUUGCUGAUCUUGGACAAAAUGUUGAAAACCAACCCAAAAUUCACUCCACAAAAAUAUAUGGUAAUGGAACUAAGUGAAAAUAGAAAUCUUAUUUUAUUUGAAUUACCAAAUAUCAUUACCAACACAUAAGCUUCUCUUCUCUAUUUCUUUAUUUUGUGAAGAAAAAGAAAAAAAAAUCCUGAUCCUUUAUUUGGUUUUCUUUUGGUUUGGCCAGAACGGUGCUGGAUUUUUCACUACCCAGCUCUGUGUCUGAGAAAUGUUUCAAUUAUUUUAUGUAAAUUAAGCUGGUUCCACAGUUCUAUAAACAUAUUUAAUUAUGUUUAGUUUAUCAUAGCUCUUUCUAAAAGGCAGAUGACUGCUUUCCCUAAAUCAUGCAUCAGCCCAGGAAAAAGACUCUGAUUUUGUGCACCUGAUCUCAAGUAAGUCACAUAAUGACCAGGCAAGGGAGGUGUCUUUAUUUUUGUUUUUAGAUUAUGAAGCUAAAUCUCUGAGGAAUUAAACAACAUGCCAAACAUCAUACAGUCUAUAAGCAGCUAAGCCCUGGAUUUGAACACUGACAUGACCCAUUCCAAAGCCCCCACCCUUCCCAUGACUCAUCACACUAGCAACCAGCAAUCUGCUCCCUGGCACCUCAGUCUGCAUGUAGAAAGAGCAGCUAUUAACCACUCAGGACACACUAAAAGGUCAUUGAAGUAAUUAUUCCUCCAUGGGCUCUGUUGGGUCCAGAACAGGGUUCUGCCUAAUCCUUUUGUAGCCAAAAUCUUAUAAAAAGCAGUCACUCCGCUCAUUAUAUCUGCAUCACUAACAAUUUUGAUGAGUCAGGAGGCUGAGGCAGGAGGAUCUCAAGCUUGAGGGUAGCCUCAGCAACUUAACAAGGUGCUAAGCUACUUAGGGAGACCCUGCCUCAAAAUAAAAAAUAAAUGGGCUGGGGAUGUGGCUCAGUGGUAGAAUGCCCAUGGAUUCAAUUCCCAGAAAAAAAAAAAUUCAAACCCUCCCCAUCCUUGCCCUGGUGCCAAAUCUAUAGCUCCUGUGCCCCUUUCUCUUCAUGGGCUAUUUGAUUCUUGGACUCACCCCUACACCUAGUUACUGAUUGUCUUUGAACUCAGAAAGAAAAAAGUAUCUGCUGGAGAAAAUGUACCAAGCAGAAUGGGGAGGGGAGGGGAGGGGAAUGUUCCUCUUUCCCUCAUGCUCUCAGAUGGCCACACCUGAAUCCAUUCUCUUCCUGUUUUACUUCUGGAGUUGUAGCCAAGGCUCAUUUUCCUGAUGGUCUCUGCAACCCUUUCCUUCGUACAUAUCAUACUUCAUUGUUAAAAGUCUGCAAUAAACUGAAGACAGACUGAACAGGUAGUACUUAUGGAGCACUCACUGUGACCCAGUCACUUUCCUUAGAUCAUCAACACAUGUCCACAUGGAAGAAAGAGGAGAGUUGGAAGGAUAGCCUCUGACUUCAGCAAAUGUGAAGUGCCAAAAGCUACCUACCAUCAGGGUUCGCCUGCUGUGGGAUGAGGUUUAUAUUGGCACCCUGCAAUAUUUAGUCACCAGCUAUCCAGCAUCCCCUGGCCGAGUUCUUGUCUCCUAAAUGAUGGCCUUUAAAGAAAAUGAAAACAAGAAAAAAAAAGAAGACAUUCACAAGUUCAGUACAAAGUCUGGCAUUUGAAAAGUAUCAGAAGUCCAUGUAAAUGGCAAUAUUUUGAAACUAAAAGGUUGCGUGAUCUCAACGCUGCGGGGAGUUGGAGCAUAAGGAAUAUUUGUGGCUGCGUGUUACCACAAAGCAGCCUGAGGCACAGCAUCUUUUUCUUGCUUAUACGCUGGUGCACCCUUGCUUUUGUCUCUAAGCAAAACAACCCAGUCAAGAAAAAAAAUUAAUAGUCCUUUUAAAAUGCAGGAAUACUUUUUCCCUAAGCAAUUAUGCACAAUUUUUCCCCAAAGCACUUAACUGCUUUGCUGUUACUUGGCACAUAAAUACAUGGAAAUACACACAUCAUCAUCUCACAAGUACCAGCAGAGGACUAGCCUUUUCAUAUAAUCGGUUCUUCUUUUACACAUUCUGUAAAAUAAGAAGAAAGCUAUUUCCAAUACUUCCUAAGUUACGGGGGAAGUUGAAAGACACCUUAUUUUGGCUUUCUAUAAGAAUCGGUCAUUCUUAACAGGAAAUUAUUUAAAAAUGAAAAAAGAAGCAAGUCUACCUAAUAUAGAAAAUUUAAAAGGCAGAGAAGCAUCUGCUCUCCUAGUCUCUCCCUUCCCACCUCUGACUCCUGGAUCCAUUCCUGUCCCCUGUAUGUGUGGCUGAUAAUGUAGGACUGCUACCAGCUACUGAGCACAGCGGGACACACAGAUACACAGGCAUAGAAGGGAUUGAUAAAACUCCCAUAUCAAAAGGAUAUCACUCUAAUUUUAGGGGUUUUUUGUUUUGUUUUGUUUUUGAGGAACCUCCAUACUAUUUUCCAUAAUGACUGUACAUUCCCAUGAACAGCCUUUAAGAGGUUCCCUUUCUCUCCACAUCCUCCCCAGCAUUUGCUAUUAUUAUCUUUUUUUUAUUUUAGUUGUUGUAAUCAGGAGGAGAUGUUAUUGUGGUUUUGAUUUUCAUUUUUCUGAUAACUUGUGAUGCUGCCUGUUUUUUCAUAUUGUUGGCUCUUUGUAAUCUUCUUUUGAGAAAUAUCUGAUCAGAUCACUCACCCAUUUUUAAUUGGAUUAUUUGGGGGUGGGGGACUCCCCUCCUCUGUUGAGCUGUUUGGAUUCCUUGUGUUUCCUGGAUAACAAUCCCUUCUCAAAUGAAUGUUUGUGGAUAUUUUUUCCCAUUCUACAGGUUCACUCUGCUGAUUGUUUCCUUUGCUGUGCAGUUUCCUGGUUUGAUGUGAUUCCAUUUGUCAAUUUUUGUUUUUGUUGCCUCUGCUUUCAAGGGUUUUAUCCAAAAAUAUACCAACAUCUUGGAGUCUUUUCCCUAUGUUUUCUUCUAAUAGUCUCAUAGUUUCGAGUUUUACACAUAGGUCUCCAUCUAUUUGAGUUGUUUUUUAUAUAUGGUGAAAGAUAAGAUCUAGUUUCAUUCUUUAGCAUAUGGAUAUCCAGUUUUCCCAGCACCAUGAAUAUCCUUUCCUACAAAGUGGGGUUUUUUUAUGUUUUUGUCAAAAAAUCAGUUGGUUGCAGGCACAUGACUUUAUUUCUGAGUUCUCUAUUCUGCUCUCUUGUUGUGUGUCUGUUUUUAUGCCCUUUCCAUGCUGUUGGGUUGUUGUAGCUUUUCAGUGUGUUUUGAGGACAGGAUUGUUUCAGCUAUUCAAAGUCUUCCCCAUGAAUUUUUUUUAAUAUUUUUUAGUCCUUGAUGGACCUUUAUUUAAUUUAUUUAUUUGUAGGUGGUGCUGAGAAUUGAACCCAGGGCUUCACAUGUGCCAGGCAAGCACUCUAUCUCUGAGCCACCACUCCAGCCCCUUCCCUAUGAAUUUUUAAGAUUAUUUUUUAUACUUCUGUAAAGAAUGCCAGAUACAUUCCUAAGGAAAUUGAAAUCAGUGUAUCAAGGAGACUUGUGGUUUUGAUUUUCCUGUGUUUACUGUGGCACUGUUCUCAAUAGUCAAGGUAUGGAACCAACUGAGGUGUCCACCAACAAGUGAACAGAUUUUUAAAAAAGCAUUGUGUGUGCACUGUGGAAUACUAUUCAACCAAAAAUAUGACCCAGCCAUGAAAUUUUGUCAUUUGUGGCAAAAUGGAUGGAACUAGAAGACAUCAUGUUAAGUGAAAUAAGCCAGGCACAGGAAGACAAAUAGUGCAUGUUCUCAUUAAUAGGAAACUAAAAAAGUAGAUUUCAUAGAAGUAGUUGAAUAGAAUAAUUGUCACUAGAAGUUGGAAAGGGUAGUGAGGAGGGAGAGAGAGGAAGCUUGAGGAAGCUUGGAUAAGAGAUGCCAAAAAAUAGCUACAUAGGAGGGGAAAGUUAUAAUGUUCCACAGCACAAUUUAGAAAGUAGUUUACAAAAAAAUCAUAUAUAUAUAUAUAUAUAUAUAUAUAUAUAUAUAUAUAGAGAGAGAGAGAGAGAGAGAGAGAGAGAGAGAGAGAGACUAGAAGAGAGAACUUUGAAACUACCCCACACAAUACAAUGACAAAUGUUUAAGGAGAAGAAAUGCUAAGUACCCUGAUUUUAUCAUUAUACAUUGUAUAUAUAUGUAUCAAAUUAUCACAUGGUACUCAUAAAUAUGCACAAUUAUUAUGUGUCAAUUGUUUAAAAAUCAAAAGAAGGAGAGGGAGAAGAAGAGGAGAAUGGGGAGAUGGAGGAGGGAGAGGAAGAGGUGGAGGAGGAAGGAGAGAAGGAGGAAGAAGAGAGAAGGAGGUGGAGAAGAAGAGAAGGCAGAGGAGACGGAGAAGGAGAAGAGAAGGAGGUGGAGGAGGAGAGAAGCAAGAAGACGAGGAGGGGGGAGAAGAAGAGGAGGAUAUGGAAGAGAAGCUGCAGCAGGAGGAGAGGUGAAAGAAGAGGAGGAGGACAUGUAGGAAGAGAAGGAGGAGGAGGAAGGGAGACUCUGGCUGACAGGCUCUUGCUCUCUUGCCAUGGGUGCCUUCCACCAUGUUAUGAGGCAGAAAGGCCCACCAACAGCAGCCCGUUAAUCCCUAGGUUCCAGAAGUAUUAGCUGAAUAGAUUUGUAUUUUAUGUAAAUUUUUUUUUUAGAAAAGAUAAAGUUGGAUGCUGAACACCAUCCCACAACUGGACGUGACCCCAACAGCAGGUUCCCUGUUGGUUCUCUGCCUGUUCCCACCACCUUGCUCCCUCCUGCCCUUGCCCUUGCCCUCUACCAUCAAUGCCAGUUUCUCUGCUUCCUCCCCAUAGCUGUUACAUCUCACCCAGAGUUUCUUUUGUAUUCCUAAAAUUCACUCUGUGUGGGGCAUGGCCUUGGGGAGGCCAUGUCUGAGGCCUUGACUCUCUGUCUUUCUCAGGGAAUCGACAUUACUGAUACUUAAGAGUCCCACCUUUUUAUGGCCAAGUUUUGUGUGUAGUAUGACACUAUUUCUGAGUCAUGGUACAUUUUAACCCUACGUAACACCGCCUCAAAAAGAUUUUAGUUUGCCUUCCAUUUUGACUUUCUCUUACAUUCCACAGGAAACCUCUUGUGUAGACUGACAAGAUUAUCAGGAAAAGUACUUUAAAGAAUAUCUUAAUAGCAGAUCUACUGUCUUCUAAUUAAAUUUGUAGAGCUGCCAACCUCCUUUAUUAGACAACCUGUAACUGCUGCUCAAGUCUUGUGAGACUAGUCCAGGGCACUUUCUACUCCCCCAUACUGCCUGAUCUCCCAGGUUAAUUCUUUCCUAGAUUCAUUUACUGGUUGUAGUUUCACAUACUUGUCAAUAGUGAGGAAAGCAACCUAACUCUGCUAAGUUUCUGUUUCACUCAGGAAACCUGAUUUUAUAUACACCCGGGGAAAACCCAGAGUUAGGGCCUGGACUCUGGGGGUCAGGACUGUGGUUGGGUAGUAUUACGGUUUGGAUCUGGGAUAUUCACCAAAAACUCACAUGUUGAAAACAUGAUCCCCAGUGCACCCAGGUUCAGGGGUGGGGCUUCAGGCAAUGAUUGGAUCAUGAGGCCUCUGACCUCAUUAGUGGAUUAAUCCAUCAAAUUGAUAGCUGGAUGGAGUAUUGAGAGGUGGGAUCUAGUGGGAGAAAAUAGGUCACUGGGAGUGUGCCCUAGAAGGUUUUAUCUUCUCCCUCAGCCCCUUCUUCUCUCUCUGUUUCCCAGCUGCCAUGAGCUACCCAGCUUUUCUCUUCCAUACCCUUCUGCCAUGAUGUUCUGCCUCAUCUCAGGUCUGGGGCAAUGGAGCCAGCCAGCCAUGGACUGAAUCCUCUGAAACCAAGAGCCAAAAUAAAUUGUCCUCCUCUAAGUUGUUCUUAGGUAUUUUGGUCACCGUGACGAAAAGCUAACUGUCACAGGGAGUUGUAAGGGUUGCGUGGAAGGCUUGGGGGCAGUUCUCUAGAAAGCAAGCUGCUUUGAGAGAGUCUGGGGCAGAAGAUCCUCUUUUUAAAAGGGCCCUUCCAAAGGGCGGGCCUAUGGGAAGAAAAAAAUAAUAAGAGAGCUUAUGCUGGUUUUCUUCAGACUCUUUCCAAGGCUAAAGUCAGCCAUGACAGAGAGAGUCCAGAGAGGCAGAGGCAGUGGGUGAAGGAGGGAAGUCAGAUCAAACAGGAAGAAAAGAGGAAAGGGAAGACGUAGAAGCUUGUGACAGAUAAAAUACCCUGAGGGACAGGUGGCUAGGGAAGUAGUGGAAAUGCAAACAAAAUGGUCACAUAUCUUAUUUUGAAAAAAAAUCUCUUAAAUAUAAUAUGCGGUAACUUGUCUAUGGUUUGAGUGUGUCCUUCCACAUGCUGGAAGCUUAGUCCCUAAUAUGGCAAUGUUGAGGUAGUAUGGAACCUUUAAGAGAUGGCACCUAAUACUAGAUGAUUAGUGCACUGGCCACAUGCCCUCAGGAGGAUUUAACACGUUCUUCUGGGAGCCUCCUUAGUUCCUGCCCUAUGGUUUGUUAUAAGAGAGCAAUUGUGACCCCACCCCACUCCCCGGCUUCCUAUCUUGCCUUGGGAUCCCUCUCACAAGCGCUCCUGCCAGGAUGCCAUUCACCAUGCAGUCUUCACCAAAGCCCAGCUGAUGCUAGUACCAUGAUCUUGAACCUCUAAACUGGGAGCUAAAUGGUCCUCUUUUAAAAAAAAAAAAAGUAACUAGUCUCAGGAAUUUUGUGAUAGCCAUGAAAACAGACUAAUACAUAAUACUACUAGAUUUGAAAGUGAUUCCUGAAUGGAAAAAAAAAAGACUUCUGCUUUUCCAUUUUGUUGUUCUUGUUAUCAUUGUUUGGGUACAAUCUCAAAGAAUCUGGGGUGUCUACACUGGACACAUUCCCCAUUCAUCUACGUGGGCUACAUAGAGAUCAUAUGGAAGAUCACUCCCUGCUACCCCAGGUAAGAAGUUAAGUGUUCAGAAUCUUGUGCUGUGAUUAUAGGGGCCAUACCCUCACUUCUGUAUUUGUGAAUAAAAGGCAGAAGAUACAACAAAACUAAGUUUGUGCAGGCUGAGCCUCCAGGAUCAUUCACCUAGUAAAAGACUGAGCCAACAAUCCAGCAUCUGAUCCUUCCUUUCACACCUGCCCAUCAGCUCAGCUUGUGGGCACCUGGAUUGACAAAGAACACGUGGUGGUGUGCAGCUAGAGGUGUACACAUAAAGCUGGCCCAGUCUUCCUUUAAUGACACACAUUCUUGGUUUCAAAAUACUUCUGUGUAUUCAAUGCACAAGGAAGUGUAUUUUAGGUUUUAAGCAAUGAUGCUGCACCACCCCCUGCUUUAAUCCUCUCUGAUGAGACCUCGAAUCCCACAGCAGUAGCUCAUGUAGCCAGGUAAGCCACAGCCACAAAUUGAUGGAGCUCUUGUUACAUACUAUUUCCUCAUCACCUCUUCAAAUUUAAGGUUUAAAAUAAACAUAGGGGGAAGCUGGAGUGGAGAUUCUGGAGAAAAAUACGAUCAUAGACAAAUGACUAGCGCCAGCUGAUUUUCAGAUAGUUCCACUGCAAAGACAAGGAAUAGAAAUGGGCCUGGCAGUGCCAGGCUGAUCUCUCAGAAAUUUCUAGAAUAAGCAUUAGUGUCAAUGUAAGUAGAAAAUACAAUGUAGCCAGACAGUUCACUGGAAAAGUUGUAAAUCAUCUAAGCAGUAUAAUAAGAAGAAUGCAUUAUUACAACAUUCACACUCACGAAAUUUGACAAAGUCAAACACUAUUCAACCAGCUAUUCAAAAACAAAAAAAAAACCAUAGUAUCAUUUUCUGUGUUGUGUUUUGUUUUGUGGUAAUCAACUAGUGGUUUCUUAGGAAUUCAUUAAAUAUCCUGCUCAUUACAGUUUUCAGUCCAUGAAUAGUGUUUCUGCUAGAUCAAUUCUAAAAGCCAGUAAUGAUUUAAUUCUGAAUCAUGUAGAAAGAAAAUAUGAGAAAAAAAUCACAUUUCUUUCAGUUCUGUAGCAAUUACAGCAGGUAAAUUUUAAAUGUUUAAAAAGUAAAAGGGUUAUGAACUCCCAUUUUUACCCCGUAUACAGAUUGCAGCAUCACAUCAGUUACACAUCCACUGUUUUACAUAUUGCUAUACUAGUGUCUGUUGUAUUCUGAAUCAAAGUGUGAAAUAUGAUAUGUCAAGAACUAUGUAAUGUUUUGAACAACCAACAAUAAAAAUUAAAGAAAAAAAUUAAAAAAUAAAAAUAAAAAGUAAAAGGGGCAAAGUUAUGGCUACUUCAUCAGCACGUUCUUUGCCCAGUAAAUUUUCUAAAAGUGUCAGAUUGUUUGCUGUUGGGAAGGUUCUGAUUUUAUCAACAGUUCAUGAGAAAGCAUUUUUGCUUAGGUAUCCACAGCUCACCUUUCACCCUGUGCCCGCUCCUCCAACAGCAUUCAUUCCACAAAUAUCCACGGGCAGAUUCACAUUCCAGUCACUCAGAGCAAAAAUAUCUGGGCAAAGUCCUCUGUCUUCACGCAGCAUCACCUCCACACAGGCAUGACAUUUCAGAAACAAAAACUGUUUCCAUCAGCUUUUAACAAUGCAGGUGGACACUAAUCUCAAAAAUCUUCAAGUAUAAAUGCAUUAUGUUUUUAUUUCUCUUUUUUUCUUUUUAUCAUCGUGGUCUUAACACUAAAUGGUUGGCCAUUAAAUAGCAAUGAACACAAAUAAUUAUUUUAAGUAAUUUUUAACUUAUUCAAGAACUACUAUGGUUGAUACUGAAAUUAUUACCAAAGAAUGCCCUUUGGUAUGAAGCCCAGCCAGCGUCCUCACCACAUUGUCAAUGCUCCCCACUGAAGGCCACGAGCAGAUACAAGUCCAGUGCAAGUCCCUAGACUCAUCUUGAUCUAAAAUAGGGAUAAUCAGACCCCAAAUUUGUUGUAACCUAAUUUUAUUCCAUCACUCUUCUGAUAACUAGGCUUUUUCACCUCACAUGUAAGCACUGGUCGCAGUUGUGGGUCUGUAACUGGGUUUCUUCAGGUUCCUAAGUACCAAGUCGUUUAACUUAUCUUGUAAACUAGCACUAAUAAUAAAAAUAGCAACAUGUCUUUGAGUAAGAGCAACAUAUUUUUGAAUAAUAAUAAUUACACCUCUUUCAAGUGAUAAUUAUAGCAGUAAUCGCAUUCAUGAGCACCUAUUUCAUGCCAAACAGUUUUUUAUUUGUUUGGUUUUAGGUCCUGGGAAUUGAACCCAGGGGUGCUUUAACACUGAGCUACUAUCUCAGUUCUUUUAAAUUUAUUUUUAUUGUUUUUUAUUUUGAGACAGGUCUCACUGAGUGUCCAGAGACAGGAUCUUGACCUGUUGAUCCUCCUGCCUCAGCCUUCCAAAUCACUGGGAUCACAGGCAUGCGUCACCAUGCCCAGCUCUGCUAGGCAGUUUUUUAAGUGAUUUUUAAAAUUCAAUUAAUAUGUGCCUAUGGUGCCCUCCUCACCAGCCUUACAUCUGCACUGCCAUUGUAUGAUGGCCAGGAACCUUUGUCCACGAGCAAAAGCCUCCCUCUGCAUGGACAGCCUCCUUGAUGCUAAGGAUCUCUGUCUCUUUAUUUUCAAGUCUCGUCUACCUCGGCCUUCCACCUGACCUCAGCACCCCUGAUACUUCACUUUGUACCUGCCACUCCACCUAGCCACAGUUUUCCCUGACUCUACCUUCAAGACCCACUGAACUUCAACAACCAGAACCUGCAGCCAGGCGGCUUCCCAGGAAAUCCCUCCCCUCAUUGGGAAGUUGGGGGAGAGAGUCGCGCUGGCAAGUCCUGAAACAUGUCUCUCUGCAGCAUUAACGUCAAAACCAAGCACAGCCACUGUGCCAAACUUCACAGUAUCUACAGGGAACUCGAGCAACAUAAUUGGAUCCACAGUGAUUCCAUGUGGAAAGAAGAUAUAAAAGAGGUGUUUAUUGCAUCUAUUUGAGCAAUGUUUUAAAAUCAUCUUCUUUUAGAAUAGGUAGUAAGUACUUUCCUGAAACCCAAAAUAUAGCAAUUAGCAUCUGUCAAGUAGUCAACAGAAUAUAAAAUACAGACACAUAUGAUCAAGAAGAAUCCAGCUCUCUCUCGGCUGUGCUGAACAAGGGAGGGAAGGUAGAAUUAGGAUGGGCUUGAGGUCAGGCAGACAUGACUUUUAAUCUUGCUCUGCCCUUCACGGGCUGUGUGAGGUAAGGAAUUUAACUCUGAACCUCCUUCUUCAUCUGUGGCAUAGGAAUGCUGCGACACUUCUUACCUUACAGUGCUGCAAUGGGGUCUCAAACUGCCUGAGUUCAAGUGCCUCAUCCAGAAUGUGGCACACAAUAUAUGCACAGUAAUGGGGAGGGUAACAAUCAUGGUGUUGAUGGAGAUUACAGUGACAGUGGUGACGGCCAAAACCCACAGCAGUGUGCUAUUCAAAUCACUGGUAGAGAACACAGGGUUAGAAUUUAGUCAUUUGCUGGACAAAUCUUCAAAAGAAAAGAAUGGAAAAGGAGAAAGGAAACGGAUGAAACUAUUAGAGUUAAGAUACCCUAACACCUAGAAGAGGGAGAAGAAACUAUAGCAUCCUGCAAAAACUUACAUUAAGCCUCUGUUCUGGGGCAGACUACUCAGAAAACAUACCAAGUCCAUUUUGUCCAAAUUGGAGAGUCUUUAUUUAGCCGGCCAGCCAGUGACUGCUCCCAGCAGGACCCAUAACUGUCUCUGCAAGGAACAGCCUUGAGCCUGAGCAUUUUAGGGUCUUUAAAGGCAAACACCACAAAAAACACAUCUGGGUUGACAUAGCUGCAAUCAAGCAAGGGUACAGAAGCUGAAUUGUGCAGUUAGGGAAACAAUGCAAUGGAUACAUUGGUAUUUCCCACAGGACUUUCCAGGUUGGCAUAGCAGCAAGCAAGCAGAAGAGAAGUGGGUCAAAAUGACCCUAAUUGAGUACGAGUUAGAGAAUGGUUACUAAAGCCUAGACAAUCAUCAAUCUCUGACAGGGUACAUUGCCCAAGAAAAAUGGAAACCAAAGAAAACAAUUUUACAUUGUAUAAGAAUUGCCAUUUUGUGUUGCCAACAUGCUAUGCUAAGCAACUACUGAUAGGUGCAGAGGUGAGGUGUUCCCAUGGGAGAAGCAUUUCUUAUAUGACAUGGAGUCUUGGGGUAAAAUGGAGUCUGUUUGGUCAUUGCCUAUAUAGCAUGGCCCAUAACAGCCUCAUCAAGGUAAUAUUUCUCUUCUGAGUCAUCAUUACAGACCAUAUUUAGUACUAGAGUAAAUGGCACUGAUGACCCUUAGCCCAACAAAGCCUCAGCCUCCCAAGCUGUUGGGAUCAUAGGUAUGUACCACCAUGCUCAGCUUGCCCUGUUUUUGUUUUUGUUUUUGUUUUUUAAUUUUUUCUUUUUAGAUAUGCAUGACAGUAGAGUGUAUUCUGACAUAUUAUACAUACAUGAAGUAUAACAUCCCAUUCCUGUGGCUGCACAUGAUGUGGAGAUACACUGUUCACCUAUUCAUAUAUGAAGAUAGGAAAGUUAUGCCCAAUUCAUGCUACUUACUGUCUUUCCUGUUCCCAUCUCCCCUCCCUUCCCUUCAUUCCCUUGUCUAAUCCAGUGAACUUCUAUUCUCCCCCAUCCCUCCAUUGUGUGUUAGCAUCUGCAUAUUGGAGAGAAUAUUUGGCCUUUGGAUUUGGGAGAUUGACUUAUUUCACUUACCAUGAUAGUCUCCAGUUCUAUCCAUUUACUGGCAGACGCUAUAAUUUCAUUCUUCUUUCUGUCUUAAAACACUGUUUCUUGGUGAAUUUUACAGUGAUUUAAAUUAAUCACAUAAAACUAGAGUUAUAUACUACCCUAUAAACUCAAGUCAAGAUUGAGUUGAUUUUAUAGUCAUCCUCUAGCAGGCAGGAAGGAAGAGAGAGAGAGAAGGGAGAAAGGAUGGAUGGAAGGAAGGAAGGGGAACACAAAGAAAAAGUGUAAAGAAUCGGAGCACGGAUAAGUACUUAGAAUGAUGUUUAUUUUAAUAACAAAACCAGAAUGUGAUCUAUAUACAAGGUGAGAUGUAAAAGUCUGGGUCUAUUCUAUCUUGACAUUUUUGAGGCAGAAACUCCAAAUGCCAUCGAAUCAUAACCACAGAAGACAAUCCUCAUGAGAAUUCUGCGAAAGGAAGUUGAGUAAUAUGUUGGAACAGAUGAUGGCUUUUUCAGCCUCCCACAACACCAAAUCAUGGAAAGCUUUCAGAGGUUGUCUGUAUAAAUAAAAUAUGAAUAUCCAAGUUCAGAGUUCCCUUUGUGCAAAUAAUGUUUAUCUUUGUUUAUGUGAAGAAUUGGCAAUCAAAAUAUGAGUUAAGGUUGGCCAUUCCUUCCAUACUGUGUC